RNAcentral lists this ribosomal RNA (491 nucleotides) under uncultured bacterium. Its description in RNAcentral is "bacterial SSU rRNA". It matches the Rfam family "Bacterial small subunit ribosomal RNA", at positions 588 to 1084 of the family's 1533-position model. The record is from RNAcentral.
UCAGUUGUGAAAGUUUGCGGCUCAACCGUAAAAUUGCAGUUGAUACUGGAUGUCUUGAGUGCAGUUGAGGCAGGCGGAAUUCGUGGUGUAGCGGUGAAAUGCUUAGAUAUCACGAAGAACUCCGAUUGCGAAGGCAGCCUGCUAAGCUGCAACUGACAUUGAGGCUCGAAAGUGUGGGUAUCAAACAGGAUUAGAUACCCUGGUAGUCCACACGGUAAACGAUGAAUACUCGCUGUUUGCGAUAUACAGCAAGCGGCCAAGCGAAAGCGUUAAGUAUUCCACCUGGGGAGUACGCCGGCAACGGUGAAACUCAAAGGAAUUGACGGGGGCCCGCACAAGCGGAGGAACAUGUGGUUUAAUUCGAUGAUACGCGAGGAACCUUACCCGGGCUUAAAUUGCAGAUGAAUUACGGUGAAAGCCGUAAGCCGCAAGGCAUCUGUGAAGGUGCUGCAUGGUUGUCGUCAGCUCGUGCCGUGAGGUGUCGGCUUAAG